Molecule: ribosomal RNA, 419 nt
Filed under: uncultured bacterium
Lineage: Bacteria
Description: bacterial SSU rRNA
Rfam family: Bacterial small subunit ribosomal RNA
Source: RNAcentral
UGGGGAAUAUUCCGCAAUGGGCGAAAGCCUGACGGAGCGACGCCGCGUGGAUGAUGAAGGUCUUCGGAUUGUAAAGUCCUGUAGAGGGGGAAGAAGGGUGCAGCAAUGCAUUUGACAGUACUCCUAAAGUAAGCUACGGCAAACUCUGUGCCAGCAGCCGCGGUUAUACAGAGGUAGCAAGCGUUGUUCGGAAUGACUGGGUGUAAAGGGUGUGUAGGUGGUUUAGUAAGUUGAAUGUGAAAUCCAUUGGCUCAACCAAUGAACUGCAUUCAAAACUGCUUUACUUGAGUACGGGAGAGGGAAGUGGAAUUUCUGGUGUAGCGGUAAAAUGCGUAGAUAUCAGAAGGAACACCGGUGGCGAAGGCGACUUCCUGGUCCGUAACUGACACUGAAACACGAAAGCUAGGGGAGCAAACAGG